GAGGGUAUAGCUCAGUGGUAAAGUGCAUGCCUAGUAUGCAUGAUGUGCUGGGUUCAGUCCCCAGUACCUACA
This 72-nucleotide transfer RNA is filed under the name Camelus bactrianus (Bactrian camel). It matches the Rfam family "tRNA". Rfam says of the family: Transfer RNA (tRNA) molecules are approximately 80 nucleotides in length. Their secondary structure includes four short double-helical elements and three loops (D, anti-codon, and T loops). The record is from Rfam by way of RNAcentral. Lineage: Eukaryota; Metazoa; Chordata; Mammalia; Artiodactyla; Camelidae. RNAcentral also lists the same sequence under 3 other names.